GACGAACGCUGGCGGCGUGCUUAACACAUGCAAGUCGAACGAUUAAGCCCAGCUUGCUGGUUGGUUUAGUGGCGAACGGGUGAGUAACACGUGAGCAACGUGCUCGUAACUCUGGAUUAACUACCGGAAACGGUGCUUAAUACUCGUUAUGUGUCAGGGAGGCAUUUCCUCUGCUUGGAAACAUUUUUCGGUUUCGGAUCGGCUCACGGCCUAUCAGCUUGUUGGUGGGGUAAUGGCCUACCAAGGCGACGAAGGGUAGCCGUCCUGGGAGGGUGACCGGCCACACUGGGACUGAGACACGGCCCAGACUCCUACGGGAGGCAGCAGGGGAGAAUAUUGUACAAUGGGCGCGAGCCUGAUGCAGAAACGCCGCGUGAGGGAAGACGGCCAUCGGGUUGGAAACCUCAUUUAGUAGGGAAGAAGCGCAAGUGACGGUACCAGCAGAAAAAGCACCGGCUAACUACGUG
Molecule: ribosomal RNA, 467 nt
Filed under: uncultured bacterium
Lineage: Bacteria
Description: partial 16S ribosomal RNA
Rfam family: Bacterial small subunit ribosomal RNA
Source: RNAcentral